AAUCAGUGUGUUGCAGAAUUUUCUAGACUAUUUUGCUACAUUUUUGGGGGAAAAUCUUAGCUUUUCAUCUAUGUGCAUACUUGAGUGGCAAUGGUGGUGGCAUUUGUCUUAGAGAUAUUCAACUACUAGGUCUUAGUUAAGUUAAGAAGUUUGGGUAGAGAGAGAAUGGCAACAGAUAUGCAAAAAUUGAUAGGAACAAGUGAAGAAGAUGAUGAGGAAGAAAUGGACAUGGAUGUUAAAGAAGAAGACGAUGAAGAUGAAGAAAACAGAGAGAAGCAUAUUGCCACGCGAGUGAUGGUAGGGAUUGAAGGAGGGAUGGCAUCAAACAGUAGUAAUAAUCAGUUUCUACAUCACCAGCAUAUUCAAGAACAAGUUAGCACUCCAGGAGGGGGAGGAGGAACUCGGAGAAGUAGACCACUUGAAGAAAAGGAGAGAACUAAGCUAAGAGAGCGUCAUCGGAGGGCAAUCACUGCAAGGAUCUUGGCAGGUUUAAGAAGGCAUGGGAACUAUAAUCUUAGGGUUAGAGCUGAUAUCAAUGAUGUGAUUGCUGCUUUGGCCAGGGAAGCUGGCUGGGUAGUUCUACCUGAUGGAACCACCUUUCCUUCAAGAUCUCAGCAGAACUCAAGGCCACUGGGUGGCACUUCUGCAGCGGCAACUUCAUCAUCUACCCAUCUGGUGUCACAGCAGACUCCAUCUGCUUCCCUUAGGGGAAUAUCUCCUGGUUGCCGGACCUCAGUAGAUUACAAUUCAUGUCGACUGAAAGGUGUUUUUAUGCCUACUCCAUCACCCUAUGAUCUAUCCACAAGCACUCAGUCACAAAAUUCAGCUAUGAUGGGGGAUGGAGGAGAACAAACUGAGAGUCAUCCUCUCAUUGGUGGCUCCUUGGAUACUGUUAAUGAUAAGCAGGUAGUGGACAUAUCUCCAAAGUUAGCAGAGCGAGAUUUUGGCGGCACUCCAUAUGUACCAGUUUAUGUAAUGCUACCGUUGGGUGUCGUAAAUAUGAAGUGUGAGCUGGCUGAUCCAGAUGGUCUAUUAAAACAGCUGAGGGUAUUGAAAUCUGCAAAUGUUGAUGGUGUCAAGGUUGACUGCUGGUGGGGAAUAGUGGAGGCACACGCUCCAAUGGAAUAUAACUGGAAUGGUUACAAGAGGCUCUUUCAGAUGGUGCAUGAGCAUAAACUUAAGCUGCAGGUUGUGAUGUCAUUUCAUGAAUGUGGAUGCAAUGUUGGUGAUGAUGUUUGUAUCCCUCUUCCACAUUGGAUUGCAGAAAUUGGUCGAAGUAAUCCCGACAUUUUUUUCACUGAUAGAGAGGGAAGAUGCAACCCAGAAUGUCUCUCAUGGGGAAUUGACAAAGAACGAGUGUUAAGAGGCCGAACUGCACUUGAGGUAUACUUUGACUACAUGAGAAGCUUCCGGGUAGAAUUUGAUGAAUUCUUUGAGGAUGGUCUUAUCUCCAUGGUUGAGGUUGGACUUGGUCCAUGUGGGGAGCUACGAUACCCAUCUUGUCCUGUAAAGCAUGGUUGGAGAUAUCCUGGCAUUGGUGAAUUUCAGUGUUAUGAUCAGUAUUUGUUAAAAAACCUGAGGAAGACGGCAGAAGCAAGGGGACACCCAUUUUGGGCUAGAGGACCAGAAAAUGCUGGUACCUAUAAUACCCAACCACAUGAAACCGGAUUCUUCUGUGAUGGAGGGGAUUAUGAUGGCCACUAUGGCAGGUUCUUCCUUAAUUGGUAUUCUCGGGUUUUAGUUGAACAUGGUGAUCAGGUGCUCUCUUUUGCAAAGUUGGCUUUUGAAGGCACCCAAAUUGCUGCAAAGCUAUCAGGUAUUCACUGGUGGUACAAGACAGCCAGUCAUGCUGCAGAAUUAACUGCUGGAUUCUACAACCCAAGUAAUCGUGAUGGUUAUGCUGCAAUUGCAGUAAUGUUAAAGAAGCAUGCAGCUGCUCUGAACUUCUCAUGUUCUAAAUUGCGGAUGUUAGACCAGCAAGUGAACUUUGCGGACGCACUUGCAGAUCCUGAUGGAUUGUUGUGGCAAGUUCUGAAUGCUGCAUGGGAUGUCGACAUACCAAUUGCUAGUGAGAAUGCUCUUCCUUGCCAUGAUAGGGUUGCCUAUAACAAGAUUUUGGACAAUGCCAAGCCCCUGAAUAAUCCAGAUGGAAGACAUUUUUGGUCUUUUACAUACCUUAGGCUCAGCCCACUUCUCAUGGAGAGGCAGAACUUCAUGGAAUUUGAACGAUUUGUGAAGAGAAUGCAUGGAGAAGCAGUUCUUGAUCGCCAAGUAUAGCAGGAUGAAACCCAUCUAUAAUUGUGCAGUAUUUAUUUUUCCCCACAAAAUAGCUGGGGUAGCACUAGCAUGUUGCAAAUUAGGUGAUGGUAUUCAACUCAAUCCUGAAUUAGUGAGGAUCAACAAUCCCUUUUUCACUUUUAGAUGAAGUAACACCUCUGUAAAUGAAAUCACAAACUCACCGCAGUCAGGCUCUUAGAUCCAAGUUUCUUGACAUGCUUGCUUAUUAACUUAGGUUAAACUGUUUGAAGGUGUCAAAAUCUAAUUGAGUAAUUGUUUAUGUUACAUAAUUUAUGUACGAUUCAGAAAUUUUGAGAUCAUCAAUCAGUGCAAAAGUUUGUG
Molecule: unclassified non-coding RNA, 2619 nt
Filed under: Hevea brasiliensis (rubber tree)
Lineage: Eukaryota; Viridiplantae; Streptophyta; Magnoliopsida; Malpighiales; Euphorbiaceae
Source: RNAcentral